This is a long non-coding RNA of Anas platyrhynchos (mallard), 3532 nucleotides long. RefSeq lists it as uncharacterized. The record is from RefSeq and is a predicted model, not a curated record. NCBI's taxonomy places the organism in Eukaryota, Metazoa, Chordata, Aves, Anseriformes, Anatidae.
CCACGGCACAUCCCACACCCCGCUGCUGGGACACCCGGGGGCAGAUGUCUGCAGGGAAAACAUUUCUAAACCAGCCACUAACAGCAAAAUUUCCAAAGCGACAAGACCAACGCAGAGAGACAAUGUCCAUGCAGAGGAGGGGGGAGAGGAGGAGGUGCAGAAACCUAAUUAUUUGCUGUAACCUGCUAAUUUCAGCGUGUCACCUAAAUUCUCUUCAGCUGCUCAUGCGGCGUUUGCUUACGAGCCUGGCGCUCAGACAGGUGCUGUGGCUUUUAGUUGGACGCACUCGGCCCAAAUUCACCUGCUGCCAGCCUGCCUAAUGCCAAUGUAGCCACACCAGGGAGGAAUUUGAUCCAUUUUUACUCAAAAUUGGGGAAGAAAUGGCCCCACGCAGCCCCGGCACCUCCCACAGGCCCCCCCCAUGCUGCGCGUCUUCCUUCACCAAGAAUUCCACAGCCGUGAAAAACAGGAUUCAUUUCCUCCAGAAAAAAGGCAUUUCUGAAGAUGUUCUCGCUUGAAAUACUGGGAAAACCGAUUCUGAACACCUCCCAAAAUAAAAGAUUCCUUUUUUUAUCAUUAUUUUUUUUAGUUUAGGAGCAUUCAGUCCCAGUUUAUCGCUCCUGCCAUUAGUGCUACGCCUACAUUAUUUCGCUCCACGGCACGAGGACUCCUUUAUAACGUGACAUAACAGCUUAACUAUUCAAUUAUUGCAUAUUUUCUUAUUUUUUAAAAUCGUUAAGAGCAGCUGCUACUUAGUCCUGAUUGCAACCCCUUAUCUCCUUCCCCAGAUCAAAGGGGUGGCUGCUUGUGGUAAUGGAAACGGUUUGACACCUCGAUCAAAGCCUCUGCUGUUUGUGCUGUCGGAAAAGUGUUUGACACUUGUGUCAAAGCGUCAAACUAUUUCAUUACAGCGCCAACCGGAGACACUUUGACUACGGGAGAUAAGAUGUUUCAAUCAAUCAGCAUCCACAAAUGGCCUCCCCCCUAUGAUUAAAAAAAAUAAAAUAAAAUAAAAUAAUCAGGUGGUUCUGGCUGGAGUUUGCAAGGCGGCUGCGGGGUGUUGUUGCUGCUUGUGCGCAACGGAGCAGUGUAGUAAUGAGGGAUGGCACAAAAGCAAAUGCAAAAGCUGAGAAAAGAGAAUUUGAAACAAAAAUCCUGAAAGUUUAAUAAAAAAAUUAAAACAUGCCAUUUUUUGGAAGCGCUGAGACAUCCCACCUGUGCAAACCCAGGGCAGCAGCUGGGUGCUGCCGGGGCUCCCAGCAGAGCCACUGGGGAGAGGACGCACGGACCCAGCCCUGCCAUCACCACCACUUCCAGGGGAGGUGGCACUGGCAUCCCCAUAGAGCAAAAAGAUUUGCAAAAUUUAGUUAAAAAGGAAGAAAUCCAAUGUCAUCAGCUCCAUCUGCCCUGACAAACCCAUGUAGUGGCUGCUGGGGGUCAAAGAUGGGAAGGUGACGUGGGACCAGGGAUGGUGACGUGGGACCAGGGAUGCCUGGAGGCAGCCCCGGUGUCCCCACGCUGUGCUGUCCCACCAGUCCCACCCGUGUCAAUGCUGCCACCCUAAUGCCACCAGGGCCACCAGCUCCGAGCCUGGCUGGGAGUUAUGCACCGAGCAAGCACUGCUCGUUUCACCAAUUAAUUGCAUAUUGCCUCCGGCACAUUCACCACUCAUUUCCCUAAAUUCACUGGCUGGCACCCAAAAUGAACCAUAUUCCUCAGGCUCCACCAUUUGGGACUUGGACAAGGAGGGGGAAGGUGGCACAGCGGGGUCUGGCUGGGGCAGGAGAGCUGCGUGUGGGACGGGGAUGGGGACGGGGACGGGGACGGGGACAGCUUCUGCCCCAGUCUCUGGGGUGCGGCUGCAGGGCCUCUGCGCUCUCCUCCCUGCAAACUCCCCUUGCAAAAUUGGUUUUUAGCAAAGCCACUUAUCACCUUAACCAUCUAUCGAUCCCUUGACUCCCGGCCAGCUGCUCCCAGGAUCCGAUAGAGGAAAGGCAAAAAAACCACGGCUGCGAGGGAGAGCUCUGGGCAGCUCCGCUCCGGCCGCCCCUCACCUGGGGGAACUCUGCCUGGGCUGGGGGACACGAGCGGGUGAGGACUGGCACAGAUCACCCAUCUCGCUGCCACCUGGGCCCCUGGGCCAAGUCCUGCCCUCUGAGGCGGCUGCAGGCGGUCAAUAUAUCGAUGGGAAGCUCGGGCAGGCGGCCAGAGCCGGGUGCGUGCCCGAUCCCUGCGCCACUCCGGCUGCUGCUCAACCCCAAAUCUCACAGCAAACAAAACAAGAAGGCAGGAAAACCAAAGGAAACCAUUUGUGCUUUUGCCAGGAAAAUGGAAAAGGAGGAAGCUGGAGGAUUAUCCGUGGGGACCUCUGCGGAUGGAAACACAAGGGUUUGGAUAGCUCAAGAUUUGUUGCCUGGAUUUUAGAGCUGCUCCCCAGACACGUUCUCACCCGAGGGACGAUCACGACAGAGAAUAAAAACCAAAAUCACCUGAGCCCCAUUCUGCAGGAAAACAACCCUAUAUCCAUCACACUGCCUAACCCCAAGCCGUGCAGCCAAGAAAGCCACAAGGACUUCGAAAAGGACAAAAGGUCCCUUCCUUCUUCCCCCAGGGUGACAGCCACGCAGCAGAGGUGACGGAGCCACCGGGACGCGCUCAAGCACCAGCAGCAAGCCCAGCCCGGCUGGGAUGCACCCAACACCGAGCCGAGGAUAUCCGAGCACCCCAAAAUAUCACCGGGGGGUCUCAGAGACCCCUUCCCUCACCUGCUGGGGACAGGACACCCCGUGGGAAGAUGCAGCAGUGAAGGUGAGGAGCAGGCUGCAGAGCGCAGCCCCCGUGCGCUUCCCAGCAGCAUCGAUCUCCCCGCGGUAGCAGCCGGUAUAAUUUUGCUUGGCUUCAAAUACCUGGCGCUCAUGAAUUCUUUGGCCACAAGGUUAUAAAGCAUCCUCUAAAACAUGAGAAAAAGAUUAAGCCUGCUUAUAGUUAAUAAUAUACUGUAUACUGUCUAUCAAGCUGGCUGUUUGCUAUUGAGAGCCUACUAUUAGACACUUAUUUAAAAGGCCUUUCAAGGCUUCCGAAGAAAGUGCAGUUAUGCAUUUUUUUUUUUUUUUUCUGGCAAGAACUACUAUAGAUAAACAUCAAUUCGCUCCUGCAGAUCACAGUCGCAGUAAAUAAAUUUUUCAGGAAGCUAAGUUCCAUACAAAGCCUUCUCAAAGCUCCCAUUUCACACAACAUCAAUGUUUGGCCUCUGAGAAAUAAAAGCUCUGAGGUUGCUUUAUCCAAAGCUAAAUUAUCAAUUGUAGCUGCUUAAAAAAAAUAAAAUAAAUAAAAUAAAAUAGGGCAUUGCAAUGAGAAACCAGCGUGGGGACGGGAAGGAGACAACACCAUUUGUAGACAGCGUGGCCGUUCAGAGACAAAAUGGGGAAAGACAGCGAUUUUGCUGGCAAUUGAUCGGGUCUUUUGCCUCUGCGAAGGCUUCAGCAGCCCAAAACUUUUGGGUGAAGGGCGCUGCGGCCGUGCAGCGGGCGGC